This 87-nucleotide transfer RNA is filed under the name bacterium. RNAcentral describes it as "tRNA-Leu". It matches the Rfam family "tRNA". Rfam says of the family: Transfer RNA (tRNA) molecules are approximately 80 nucleotides in length. Their secondary structure includes four short double-helical elements and three loops (D, anti-codon, and T loops). Further hydrogen bonds mediate the characteristic L-shaped molecular structure. tRNAs have two regions of fundamental functional importance: the anti-codon, which is responsible for specific mRNA codon recognition, and the 3' end, to which the tRNAs corresponding amino acid is attached (by aminoacyl-tRNA synthetases). tRNAs cope with the degeneracy of the genetic code in two manners: having more than one tRNA (with a specific anti-codon) for a particular amino acid; and 'wobble' base-pairing, i.e. permitting non-standard base-pairing at the 3rd anti-codon position. The record is from RNAcentral.
GCCGAAGUGGUGAAAUUGGUAUACACGCAUGGUUCAGAGCCAUGUAGUCGCAAGGCUGUGGAGGUUCAAAUCCUCUCUUCGGCACCA